This 253-nucleotide ribosomal RNA is filed under the name uncultured bacterium. RNAcentral describes it as "partial 16S ribosomal RNA". It matches the Rfam family "Bacterial small subunit ribosomal RNA", at positions 524 to 776 of the family's 1533-position model. The record is from RNAcentral.
UACAGAGGGGGCAAGCGUUAUUCGGAAUUAUUGGGCGUAAAGGGCGCGUAGGCGGCGAUUCAAGUGGCGGGUGAAAUCCCUCGGCUUAACCGAGGAACUGCCUGUCAGACUGGGUUGCUUGAGACCGGGAGAGGCGAGUGGAAUUCCCAGUGUAGCGGUGAAAUGCGUAGAUAUUGGGAGGAACACCAGUGGCGAAGGCGGCCCGCUGGACCGGAACUGACGCUGAGGCGCGAAAGCGUGGGGAUCAAACAGG